Peromyscus maniculatus bairdii (prairie deer mouse) is the source of this 754-nucleotide non-coding RNA. The record is from RefSeq and is a predicted model, not a curated record. NCBI's taxonomy places the organism in Eukaryota, Metazoa, Chordata, Mammalia, Rodentia, Cricetidae.
CACAGGCAGGACCUAUCUCUGUUUUUGUUUGUAUCACAUGAUAUUCACCUGGCCUCUGCCCCAUUUGGAUUCCAGUGUGGGUGGGAGUGGGAGAUUCCUUCAAAUACGUGAUCCCUUGGGCUCUCCUCACUCCCACUGCCGUGGUGUAUUGUGGUGCUACUCCUGCCUCUGUUUCUUCACUGCUUUUUCAGGGAUGGCCCUCCCCACUGGCUCCCACCCUCCUCCUCCUCAGAGAGGUUGGCUACUCGUUUGUUGGCAAAGCAGUCCCACCUGGGCACCCCAGGCCCCUCUCUACCCACCCAACAUCAAGGCUCUGGACACUCAGUGGCUCAUCAAGAAGAUUCUAAUGAAGGGCUGAAGAGAUUGCUUAGUAAAGUACUUGCCUAAAUGUGGAAGAUGACUGAACUUCUGUCUCCUAAAUUCUGGGACUACAGGGUUCCCUGAGCCCCAAGGGGAGGAAUUUGAUGGAGACAUCCCAUUUGGGACUGAGUAUUCCAACAUCUCUCAUUUUAUGCAUAAUGUCUGGCUGUGGGUCCCUGUAUUUGUUCCCAUCUGCGGCAGGAGGAAGCUUCUCUGAUGAUGGCUGAGCAAGGCAUUGAUCUAUUCUGCUGGGGUUUAUAAGCUAUAAGGGGAAAAAUAAAGAAGAGAGAAGGAAGUCAUCAGGAAGUAGAGGAGAAGGAAGACAUCAGGAAGUAGUGAAGAGGAAGGCAUCAGGAAACAGUGAGGAGGAAGUCAUCAGGAAGUAGUGAGAAGG